This 75-nucleotide transfer RNA is filed under the name marine sediment metagenome. Its description in RNAcentral is "tRNA-Ala". It matches the Rfam family "tRNA". Rfam says of the family: Transfer RNA (tRNA) molecules are approximately 80 nucleotides in length. Their secondary structure includes four short double-helical elements and three loops (D, anti-codon, and T loops). The record is from RNAcentral.
GGGCUUGUAGCUCAAUGGGAGAGCAGAUGCUUUGCAAGCAUAAGGUUGAGGGUUCAAGUCCCUCCUUGUCCACCA